Molecule: ribosomal RNA, 460 nt
Filed under: uncultured bacterium
Lineage: Bacteria
Description: partial 16S ribosomal RNA
Rfam family: Bacterial small subunit ribosomal RNA
Source: RNAcentral
CCUACGGGGGGCAGCAGUGAGGAAUAUUGGUCAAUGGGCGCGAGCCUGAACCAGCCAAGUCGCGUGAGGGAGGACGGCCCUACGGGUUGUAAACCUCUUUUGCCGGGGAGCAACGGGCGCCACGUGUGGCGCCACGGAGGGUACCCGGAGAAAAAGCCUCGGCUAACGCCGUGCCAGCAGCCGCGGUAAUACGGAGGAUGCGAGCGUUAUCCGGAUUUAUUGGGUUUAACGGGUGCGUAGGCGGAUCGGUAAGUCAGUGGUCAAGUGGAGGGGCUCAACCCCUUCCCGCCAUUGAAACUGGCGGUCUUGCGUGGAAGAGCAGUCUGCGGAAUGCGUGGUGUAGCGGUGAAAUGCAUAGAUAUCACGCAGAACCCCGAUUGCGAAGGCAGCAUGCCGGCUUCCGACUGACGCUGACGCACGAACGCGUGGGGAUCGAACAGGAUUAGAUACCCUGGUAGUC